Long non-coding RNA from Egretta garzetta (little egret), 173 nucleotides. RefSeq lists it as uncharacterized. Lineage: Eukaryota; Metazoa; Chordata; Aves; Pelecaniformes; Ardeidae. The record is from RefSeq and is a predicted model, not a curated record. The transcript is spliced from 3 exons.
CGGCUGCCCCAGCGCAUGGCCAUCAUGGCCUUCCUCGGCAACUUCACCGAAAACCUCCAGAUGCUGACACCGCAGCUCAAUGCCAUCAUUGCGGCCUCGGCUUCCGUCAAGUCCUCCCAGAAGCUGAAGCACAUGUUGGAGAUCAUCUUGGCGCUGGGCAACUACAUGAACAG